RNAcentral lists this ribosomal RNA (430 nucleotides) under Bacillota bacterium. RNAcentral's name for it is "Firmicutes bacterium partial 16S ribosomal RNA". It matches the Rfam family "Bacterial small subunit ribosomal RNA", at positions 355 to 776 of the family's 1533-position model. The record is from RNAcentral. Lineage: Bacteria; Bacillati; Bacillota.
UGGGGAAUAUUGGACAAUGGGCGAAAGCCUGAUCCAGCCAUGCCGCGUGUGUGAAGAAGGCCUUUUGGUUGUAAAGCACUUUAAGCGAGGAGGAGGCUACUUAGAUUAAUACUCUAGGAUAGUGGACGUUACUCGCAGAAUAAGCACCGGCUAACUCUGUGCCAGCAGCCGCGGUAAUACAGAGGGUGCGAGCGUUAAUCGGAUUUACUGGGCGUAAAGCGUGCGUAGGCGGCUUUUUAAGUCGGAUGUGAAAUCCCUGAGCUUAACUUAGGAAUUGCAUUCGAUACUGGGAAGCUAGAGUAUGGGAGAGGAUGGUAGAAUUCCAGGUGUAGCGGUGAAAUGCGGAGAGAUCUGGAGGAAUACCGAUGGCGAAGGCAGCCAUCUGGCCUAAUACUGACGCUGAGGUACGAAAGCAUGGGGAGCAAACAGG